This 674-nucleotide ribosomal RNA is filed under the name uncultured Streptococcaceae bacterium. RNAcentral's name for it is "bacterial SSU rRNA". It matches the Rfam family "Bacterial small subunit ribosomal RNA", at positions 70 to 731 of the family's 1533-position model. Lineage: Bacteria; Bacillati; Bacillota; Bacilli; Lactobacillales; Streptococcaceae. The record is from RNAcentral.
AAGGAGGAGCUUGCUUCUCCGGAUGAGUUGCGAACGGGUGAGUAACGCGUAGGUAACCUGCCUGGUAGCGGGGGAUAACUAUUGGAAACGAUAGCUAAUACCGCAUAAGAGUAGAUGUUGCAUGACAUUUGCUUAAAAGGUGCAAUUGCAUCACUACCAGAUGGACCUGCGUUGUAUUAGCUAGUUGGUGGGGUAACGGCUCACCAAGGCGACGAUACAUAGCCGACCUGAGAGGGUGAUCGGCCACACUGGGACUGAGACACGGCCCAGACUCCUACGGGAGGCAGCAGUAGGGAAUCUUCGGCAAUGGACGGAAGUCUGACCGAGCAACGCCGCGUGAGUGAAGAAGGUUUUCGGAUCGUAAAGCUCUGUUGUAAGAGAAGAACGAGUGUGAGAGUGGAAAGUUCACACUGUGACGGUAUCUUACCAGAAAGGGACGGCUAACUACGUGCCAGCAGCCGCGGUAAUACGUAGGUCCCGAGCGUUGUCCGGAUUUAUUGGGCGUAAAGCGAGCGCAGGCGGUUAGAUAAGUCUGAAGUUAAAGGCUGUGGCUUAACCAUAGUACGCUUUGGAAACUGUUUAACUUGAGUGCAAGAGGGGAGAGUGGAAUUCCAUGUGUAGCGGUGAAAUGCGUAGAUAUAUGGAGGAACACCGGUGGCGAAAGCGGCUCUCUG